RNAcentral lists this ribosomal RNA (456 nucleotides) under uncultured bacterium. RNAcentral describes it as "bacterial SSU rRNA". It matches the Rfam family "Bacterial small subunit ribosomal RNA", at positions 340 to 786 of the family's 1533-position model. The record is from RNAcentral.
UACGGAAGGCAGCAGUGGGGAAUAUUGCACAAUGGGCGAAAGCCUGAUGCAGCUAUGCCGCGUGUAUGAAGAAGGCCUUAGGGUUGUAAAGUACUUUCAUCGGGGAGGAAAAAACAAACUAAUAAUUUUAUUUCUUGACGUUACCCGAAAAAGAAGCACCGGCUAACUCCGUGCCAGCAGCCGCGGUAAUACGGAGGGUGCUAGCGUUAAUCAGAAUUACUGGGCGUAAAGAGCACGUAGGUGGUUUUUUUAAAGUCAGAUGUGAAAUCCCUGGGCUUAACCUGGAACUGCAUUUUGAAACUGAAAUAACUGAGUAUCGUAGAGGGAGGUAGAAUUCUAGGUGUAGCGGUGAAAUGCGUAGAUAUCUGGAGGAAUACCUGUGGCGAAAGCGGCCUCCUAAACGAAUACUGACACUGAGGUGCGAAAGCGUGGGGAGCAAACAGGGAUUAGGAUACC